UAUCUUAGAGUGAUAGUAAUAAAUGUAUUGCACAUUAUAAAUAAUUUAAUAAUUCUUUAUAUUAAAGCAGAUUUUAUUGUUUGUUUCUGAAAAAACAGUUGACAGACCAUAUUACUGAUAUUACAUUUUGUCAUAACUAGCUUUAAUAAACCAGGAUAAGUUUGAACAUUAGCUUUACUUUUUCAGGUAUGAAACCUGCAGUCAACACAGGCUUUUAGAGGUCUGCAAGUACAGAGUUUUAAAUUGUGAAACAAAACCUCUAACUAGAUCACAGUGUGUGUGUGUGUUAUGCUGUGCUGAGAUAUUGCUGUGACAUAUGGUGGAUUUAGGUCCACAACCUGGUAUUAUUUGAGUUGACAUCUGUACCAGACAUCCUACUGUAGACAGUUCUGAGUGAGCAAUGGCCCAAGACACCUUGUUAAUGCUGCCCUGUUAUCUACUGAGUUUCUACAUACAAGUCAAGUAAGU
This is a long non-coding RNA of Mercenaria mercenaria, 468 nucleotides long. RefSeq lists it as uncharacterized. The transcript has 3 exons. NCBI's taxonomy places the organism in Eukaryota, Metazoa, Mollusca, Bivalvia, Venerida, Veneridae. The record is from RefSeq and is a predicted model, not a curated record.